UCAAGUGCCACUUUCAGCUUGGCUCCCUUUACCAUCUCUUUGUUUCUACUCAUAAUCUUCUUUUACAGCACUCUAUUUCAGCUUAACUUCCUUUCAAGCUUCAACUCUUGAAUUUCAUUUGCACUUGGACUACCAGGGAAGCAACUAAUAUCGUUGCGGGUAACAGAGCCGUAUUUGCUAUUUCUUGAUUACAAUCCAAUAUGGCUGAUGAAUAUGAGGACAGUACUACUGUCAGCUUGAAGGCCUUGCUGCACAAGGGAAGCAACAAAGUUAUUUUCGUAGUGUGGUAAUGAUUUUCUUGAUGUUCUCUUCAGUUUCUUGACUUUCCCAAUGGGAACAAUCAGCUUGGCAGUAAUCACUCAGUAGAAUCAGUACCAAUGCAAAUAGGGUGCAGGAAAAAUUUGUAUGCAAGUAUUGAGAAUAUUGAUGUUCAACAGUUUCACAAUGAGGUGUGUCGAGACAAAUUAUUAAGUCCUCGUAAUGCAGCUGAAUCUCAUUGCAAGGACCUCAAAUUGAAAAUUGACAUAGAAAAAGCAUGGAUAGGGAGUAUCACCUUUCCUGUUCAUCCUCCCCUGCUGAUCAAGAUAACGGCAACUUUGUAAAGGGAUUAGCCGGACUCAAUAGUUACUAGUGUUGCCCCCAUUAAGCGGUACAAGCUUUUCUUUCUUUACCAAGCUUGGAGUCACGGACGGAGACAUUACUGAAGAGAUAUUUAAUAUAGGUGUUAGUGAGGUAACUCAAUGUUGUCUGCCAAUUUUAUUUUUUUUGUUAGAACUGUCACUGUGUUGCAUUGCUGUUCAUUUAUAUCUUUUUCCAGGUUUUGAAUUUGCUCAUCUGCUCAUCUGUGUCAAAGACACCAUUGACUGAAACUCUAAAGCAUCAACCAGAACCAAUUUUAGCACUGAAAUAGUUGAUCA
Molecule: long non-coding RNA, 917 nt
Organism: Rosa chinensis
Lineage: Eukaryota; Viridiplantae; Streptophyta; Magnoliopsida; Rosales; Rosaceae
Exons: 3
Source: RefSeq, a predicted model, not a curated record